Molecule: long non-coding RNA, 92 nt
Organism: Etheostoma spectabile (orangethroat darter)
Lineage: Eukaryota; Metazoa; Chordata; Actinopteri; Perciformes; Percidae
Exons: 3
Source: RefSeq, a predicted model, not a curated record
AUACAGUACCAGUCAAAAGUUUGGACAUGCUUUCCCAUUCAAGUGAAUGAGAAAGCGUCUCCAAACUUUGUGAUGCUGCUAUGUUUCUUAAU